GCUGGGCAUGGUGGUGCACGCCUAUAAUCCCAGCAACUUGGGAGGCUGAGGCAGGAGGAUCAUGAGUUCAAACCCACCUUAGCAACUUAGUGAGGCCUUAAGCCUUAGUAAGGCCUUAUUAGGCCCUGUCUCUA
This 134-nucleotide small RNA is filed under the name Marmota monax (woodchuck). The record is from RNAcentral. Lineage: Eukaryota; Metazoa; Chordata; Mammalia; Rodentia; Sciuridae.